GAUGAACGCUGGCGGCGUGCUUAACACAUGCAAGUCGAACGAAGCACUUGAUUUUAUUGCCUUCGGGACUGAUUAUUUUGUGACUGCUGGGCGGACGGUUGAGUAACGCGUGGGUAACCUGCCUUGUACAAGGGUAUAACAGUUGGAAACGGCUGCUAAUACCGCAUAAUCGCACAGCAUCGCAUGAUGCAGUGUGAAAAACUCCGGUGGUAUAAGAUGGACCCGCGUUGGAUUAGCUAGUUGGUGAGGUAACGGCCCACCAAGGCGACGAUCCAUAGCCGACCUGAGAGGGUGACCGGCCACAGUGGGACUGAGACACGGCCCAAACUCCUACGGGAGGCAGCAGUGGGGAAUAUUGCACAAUGGGCGAAAGCCUGAUGCAGCGACGCCGCGUGAGCGAAGAAGUCUUUAGGUAUGUAAAGCUCUAUCAGCAGGGAAGAUAAUGACGGUACCUGAAUAAGAAGCACCGGCUAAAUCCGUG
Molecule: ribosomal RNA, 481 nt
Filed under: uncultured bacterium
Lineage: Bacteria
Description: partial 16S ribosomal RNA
Rfam family: Bacterial small subunit ribosomal RNA
Source: RNAcentral